UUUAUCACACCCAGCAUGACACCAGUGCAGUAUAAUGAAGUGCAGUUCAGCUGUGCCAUCCAGGUACAGGAGGGAGAGCUUCGUGUCCUGUCGCAGGAGAGACAAUGUAAGGGGACAGUCAGAUGUAUUUAGAAAGCCUGUGUUCUGCCUAGCUCUCUGUGCCAAAGAUCUCUCACGGACCAGGACCUUGAGCACAGCCAAGAAAAGACUCCAAGCAUGAGAAGCUUGAAAAUACUUGAAGGCAGCAUCAGUACCUGGAGUUUUUCAAGAUCUCUCUUCUCAGAGAUUCUGUUCACAGAGCAACAAGAUGGCUGUCUUGUGCUAUAAGCUCACACGGAAGAAAGGAAUCAC
This 351-nucleotide long non-coding RNA is filed under the name Anas platyrhynchos platyrhynchos (common mallard). RNAcentral's name for it is "lncRNA (ENSAPLG00000026533.1)". The record is from RNAcentral. Lineage: Eukaryota; Metazoa; Chordata; Aves; Anseriformes; Anatidae.